UACGUAGGUGGCAAGCGUUGUCCGGAUUUACUGGGCGUAAAGAGCGCGCAGGCGGUCGUUCAAGGCGCGUGUGAAAGCCCCCGGCUCAACUGGGGAGGGUCACGCGAUACUGAUCGACUCGAAGGCAGGAGAGGGUAGUGGAAUUCCCGGUGUAGUGGUGAAAUGCGUAGAUAUCGGGAGGAACAUCAGUGGCGAAAGCGGCAUCCUGGACCGGUAUUGACGCUGAGGCGCGAAAGCCAGGGGAGCAAACGGG
Molecule: ribosomal RNA, 253 nt
Filed under: uncultured bacterium
Lineage: Bacteria
Description: partial 16S ribosomal RNA
Rfam family: Bacterial small subunit ribosomal RNA
Source: RNAcentral